RNAcentral lists this long non-coding RNA (1141 nucleotides) under Parus major (Great Tit). RNAcentral's name for it is "lncRNA (ENSPMJG00000009300.1)". Lineage: Eukaryota; Metazoa; Chordata; Aves; Passeriformes; Paridae. The record is from RNAcentral.
AGCCUUUUGGGAAUGAGAGGAAGAAGACAGCAGAGCAGUGACUCCCAGCCAUCUCCCCCUCGGCUCGCAGCCACAGCCAGCUGUGCUCCAAGGGUGGAAGCUCUCCACGAACCCAUGUCCAGCACUGCUGAGCCACAGUACAGAAUUUAAAAAGACGAGGGUCUCCCAGUGCAUGCAGGAAUGCAGCUCCAGGAGUGUGCUCCAGCUCUGGAUUUUCACCUCUGCUUUGGAGCAGGAUGUGACCCACAGGAGACCUUCCUUGGGAAGGGGAGUGCAGUCGUAGCAGGCAGAAGAGUAGGAUGGAGCACUGACAGGAGCUGGGGCAGACCUUUCCCACCCUGCAGGUUUGAUUUUGGGCACUCCCAAUGAAGCAUCCUGAUCUCAGGAGGGCACUCUGCACUUGAGGAAUAGAAAUGUCAAAGCAACCGGUUUGGAGUGGAAGCCGUCAAGAAGAGCAUCCUCAUCAGCCUGGAAUACUGCAUCCCAUUUGGAACUUUCCUGCAAUUCUCCAUGGGGAACACAAGGAGCUUCCAGCAAGGGCUCCAAAAUAUCCACUGGCAAAUGCCCAACCAUUCAGGAAGUUUAAGACUCACAGUCCCAGAUGAGUAACUUAAUUAUUGAACAAACUUUACAGAGUGCUAAAGAUUCCCUGUGCAAUCACUGGGAUCAUGGGGGCCAGGCUGGGUCAGCUCAUCCCAGAGUCUUUAGGGUUACCAUGUAGGAAACAUCCCUGUCCUUCACCACUUCCCAAAGCUUCAGCAAGUUGUGCUCCAAGUGUGGCUACUAAACCCAGUGUAGUCUUGGAAAUAUUCCCAAAACAUCCAUCUCAGUGACAAUUAGGUAAGAAAUAUGUUAUCAGUUCAGAGUUUUUCCAGUAACUUUCUACUUAAUCUUUGGAAUGUCACUAUUCAAAGUGAGAGGAUCACAGAUUUAACUGGGAUGGAAACAAAUGCAUACACCCAAUAUAAUUUGACUUUAAGGAACGAUCCCAGUAUUUAAAACCUAUCAGUUUUGCCUUCCACCUCAGUUAUUAAUAGCAUAGGUGAAAAAGCAAUUAGCCACUUCUCUCGGGAUGACCCAAAGCUGCUGGAGUUGUGUGGGGCUCUGGAAGGGUAUCUGGGCACCUGCAGGUCAGAACAUU